UACAGAGGGGGCGAGCGUUGUUCGGAAUUACUGGGCGUAAAGGGCGCGUAGGCGGCCAACUAAGUCAGACGUGAAAUCCCUCAGCUUAACUGGGGAACUGCGUCUGAGACUGGCAAGCUUGAGUGCAGGAGAGGAACGCGGAAUUCCAGGUGUAGCGGUGAAAUGCGUAGAGAUCCGGAGGAACACCGAAGGCGAAGGCAGUGUCCUGGCGAGUGACUGACGCUGAGGUGCGAAAGCCAGGGGAGCGAACGGG
Molecule: ribosomal RNA, 253 nt
Filed under: uncultured bacterium
Lineage: Bacteria
Description: partial 16S ribosomal RNA
Rfam family: Bacterial small subunit ribosomal RNA
Source: RNAcentral